Long non-coding RNA from Brassica napus (rape), 1802 nucleotides. RefSeq lists it as uncharacterized. The transcript has 3 exons. Lineage: Eukaryota; Viridiplantae; Streptophyta; Magnoliopsida; Brassicales; Brassicaceae. The record is from RefSeq and is a predicted model, not a curated record.
AAAGCGCAAGUCGCUUAACGAAUCAGAAUUUGACACAUGGAUUAAAAAAUAAAAAUAUUUUAAAAUAAAUAAAAAAACAAAUACAAAACCAAAACUAAAAAAGCAGUUAAGGUAAAAUCGUGCAAUUGGAAAAGUAUAGAAACAAAAAAUUUAAAAUUAAAAUUAUGGCAAAAAAAAUCUAACAAAUUUUUAAACUACCAAAACUUAAAUCCCUAUAAUUUCUCACAUCACUACCAUCACGUUCAAACUUGAAUCUGUGGUUACUCUGUUUCUUUUAUUUGCUCUCCCUCUGUCUUUCUCUUUCUCUCAUAGUUUGUCUUCUUCGUCAACUUUUUGGUUUUGAGUAUAGCAACAAAAGGCGAUACAUGAUCUGUUCUUCUCAACUUGAUAUCAUUUUUGCAUGAUUCAAACUGAAAUUGGCAAUUGAGUUUCUUCGUAUCUCAGAACUUAAUUCUUCCAAAACUAAUUCAAAAUGAAGGAAGACGAAGGAAAACGGAUUCGGCAUGUGUGUAUAAAUUUAAAAUAUCAGACGGUAAUUGGAUAUGAAAUUCCAACCUAAGGCCAAACAAAGGCUAGAUCAUCUUACCAACGAGGAAGGUGAAGAUGGCACAUCGCUGCGGGAAUGAGAUUAAGGUAAAUUGUUAAUAGAGAUAUUUUAGUUAUUCUUAACUGUAAGUUGCUACAUUUAUCCAUAGUUUAUAUAGCUUUAUCUAAAUACAAAUUAUUACUCUUCUGCAUCCCUUGACACUCAUGAUAUUACUUAGACAAUCUAAUUAACUGAUAAAAAAUAUUUUCAUAUAGUAAAAGUUUUGUGGUAUAUGUUGAAUUGUCAUUUCUUAGGAAAUUGACUUUGUCAUUUUAGAUGUUGAUUUUGUUACUGUUAACAUUCAAGUGAAUCCUUUGUUUUGCAGAUGAAGAUAUUAAUAAAGAAAAAGGUAAAUAAUUGUUUAAAGAGGGAUAAGAGUUAGAAGAAAAAUAAGAAGAUGAAGAUAAUAAACUAGAUAAUAGUGCAUAUAUAAACUGCAUAACCAAUUGGAUUUUCUGUGAAAGCUAUUUGGUUUAACCUUUUGGUUACUGUAGGUUUUGGUAAAUUUUGUGAAGUGUGUCCAAAGUAAAUCACGUAUAGCUUUGGUGUUUCAAUUUAAAAUUAUUUUAUUUUGGUAAAUCUAAUUCAUAAACAUGAUGCUUAACAAUACUUGAUUUUGAUUAAAAGUUAUGACUAUGCAUAUAAGUAUAAUUGAUUUUUUUUAAAUAAUAAAUUUUGAUUUUGUUUUCCAAUAUUGUUUUACCAUUUUCAGUUUUUUAGUUUGAAUGCAACUAUCUCACAUGACUUUCAUAUCAACAUUUAUAUAGUAUAACAUUAUAAUUUAUUCCAAUAAAAUAAUUAUAAAUUUACAGUUUUAUCAUCAAAUAAUUAAUAAUACAGUUAUUUUAACCCAUGCAUAGCAUGGGAAGAACACUAGUUUUUAGAUAAAUUAAAAACAAGUAAAAAUAUCAAAUUGAAUUAUGAUCAAUUUAAUUGUAUCAUCAUCUUCAUUUUCAGUUUGUCUUUUCUCCCCAACUUUUUUUCUUUAUGCAGGUUCACAAAUUUGUUUGUGUUUUUAUUUUGUAAAUUCAAUUUUGUUUUAUAUUUACCAAAAUAUUUGUUAUUAAGCGCUGGAAAAUUUAUAUAUAAUGUUAAUAUAAAAUGCUAAUUAAAAAUUAUAAUUUGCAAAUGUCUAAGCCCGUCGAGGUCACCUAGGCGCUAGCCAUUAAUGUCUAUCUAUUUUACGAAAAUUCACCCGCGAAUCUACAAAAGCUUA